GGAAUAUUGCACAAUGGGGGAAACCCUGAUGCAGCAACGCCGCGUGAAGGAAGACGGUUUUCGGAUUGUAAACUUCUGUUCUUAGUGAAGAAAAAUGACGGUAGCUAAGGAGCAAGCCACGGCUAACUACGUGCCAGCAGCCGCGGUAAUACGUAGGAGGCAAGCGUUAUCCGGAAUGACUGGGCGUAAAGGGUGCGUAGGUGGUUUGACAAGUUAGUAGCGUAAUUCCGGGGCUCAACUUCGGAACUACUACUAAAACUGUUGGGCUUGAGUGCAGGAGAGGUGAAUGGAAUUCCUAGUGUAGCGGUGGAAUGCGUAGAUAUUAGGAGGAACACCAGCGGCGAAAGCGAUUCACUGGACUGUAACUGACACUGAGGCACGAAAGCGUGGGGAGCAAACAG
RNAcentral lists this ribosomal RNA (401 nucleotides) under uncultured bacterium. Its description in RNAcentral is "bacterial SSU rRNA". It matches the Rfam family "Bacterial small subunit ribosomal RNA", at positions 358 to 775 of the family's 1533-position model. The record is from RNAcentral.